UGGGGAAUUUUGCACAAUGGGGGAAACCCUGAUGCAGCGACGCCGCGUGAUUUAGAAGGCCUUCGGGUUGUAAAAAUCUUUUCUAUGGGAAGAAAAUGACAGUACCAUAGGAAUAAGGACCGGCUAAUUACGUGCCAGCAGCCGCGGUAAUACGUAAGGUCCGAGCGUUGUCCGGAAUCAUUGGGCGUAAAGGGUACGUAGGCGGGUAAGCAAGUUAGAAGUGAAAUCCUAUAGCUCAACUAUAGUAAGCUUUUAAAACUGCUCAUCUUGAGUUAUGGAAGGGAAAGUGGAAUUCCUAGUGUAGCGGUGAAAUGCGCAGAUAUUAGGAGGAAUACCGGUGGCGAAGGCGACUUUCUGGCCAUAACCUGACGCUGCGGUACGAAAGCGUGGGUAGCAAACAGG
Molecule: ribosomal RNA, 402 nt
Filed under: bacterium
Lineage: Bacteria
Description: partial 16S ribosomal RNA
Rfam family: Bacterial small subunit ribosomal RNA
Source: RNAcentral